UGUGUGGUUCAAGUGGUAGAACACCUGCCUAACAAGCAGGAGGCUCUGUGUUCAAAUCCUAGUACCACAA
This 70-nucleotide transfer RNA is filed under the name Dipodomys ordii (Ord's kangaroo rat). It matches the Rfam family "tRNA". From Rfam's summary of the family: Transfer RNA (tRNA) molecules are approximately 80 nucleotides in length. The record is from Rfam by way of RNAcentral. Lineage: Eukaryota; Metazoa; Chordata; Mammalia; Rodentia; Heteromyidae.